This 253-nucleotide ribosomal RNA is filed under the name uncultured bacterium. RNAcentral's name for it is "partial 16S ribosomal RNA". It matches the Rfam family "Bacterial small subunit ribosomal RNA", at positions 524 to 776 of the family's 1533-position model. The record is from RNAcentral.
UACGUAGGUGGCAAGCGUUGUCCGGAUUUACUGGGCGUAAAGAGCGCGCAGGCGGUCGGAUCAGUCGAAUGUGAAAGCCCCCGGCUCAACUGGGGAGGGUCAUUCGAUACUGUUCGACUCGAAGGCAGGAGAGGGAAGCGGAAUUCCCGGUGUAGUGGUGAAAUGCGUAGAUAUCGGGAGGAACACCAGUGGCGAAGGCGGCUCACUGGCUCGACACUGACGCUGAGGUGCGAAAGCGUGGGGAGCAAACAGG